CACACUCAGAAGAAAUAUUGAACUGUGACUGUGAGUGUCAGUCGGUUUUUAGUGAAAUUGAAGGUACAGCUCCGUGCCUUAGAGCAUCAUGACACCUGCAGUGUUUACCGAGCAAUCGAGUCGGACUAAUGAUCCGGAAAGAAGGUUUGGGAUUCGACUUUUUUGUUCUUCAAGGACAUUCAUCCUGCUGCCAAGAACUGUCAAACAGGAGCAUCUCAGUAUAAAGAGACUGCAGCUGGUGGCACAGACUAAGCAACCUAAUUGGACAACUUUAUAAGCUGAAGUUCACCUGGUAAUGUAAGAAGUGUAACAGUGCUGCGACAAAUGUUCUUGCACCUUUUGGCUACAGAUGAGAUGAGAAAAGACACAUGUGUUAAGAGAUGUGUUUUAUCCGAAAUAACCACCAACUCUUCACUUGAAUGCCUUGCA
Labeo rohita (rohu) is the source of this 429-nucleotide long non-coding RNA. RefSeq lists it as uncharacterized. Lineage: Eukaryota; Metazoa; Chordata; Actinopteri; Cypriniformes; Cyprinidae. The transcript has 3 exons. The record is from RefSeq and is a predicted model, not a curated record.